UACAGAGGUCUCAAGCGUUGUUCGGAUUCAUUGGGCGUAAAGGGUGCGUAGGCGGCGCGGUAAGUCGGGUGUGAAAUCUCGGAGCUUAACUCCGAAACUGCAUUCGAUACUGCCGUGCUUGAGGACUGGAGAGGAGACUGGAAUUUACGGUGUAGCGGUGAAAUGCGUAGAUAUCGUAAGGAAGACCAGUGGCGAAGGCGGGUCUCUGGACAGUUCCUGACGCUGAGGCACGAAGGCCCAGGGGGAGCAAAACGGG
This 256-nucleotide ribosomal RNA is filed under the name uncultured bacterium. RNAcentral's name for it is "partial 16S ribosomal RNA". It matches the Rfam family "Bacterial small subunit ribosomal RNA", at positions 524 to 777 of the family's 1533-position model. The record is from RNAcentral.